This 253-nucleotide ribosomal RNA is filed under the name uncultured bacterium. RNAcentral's name for it is "partial 16S ribosomal RNA". It matches the Rfam family "Bacterial small subunit ribosomal RNA", at positions 524 to 776 of the family's 1533-position model. The record is from RNAcentral.
UACGUAGGGGGCAAGCGUUGUCCGGAAUCAUUGGGCGUAAAGCGCGCGUAGGCGGUCAGAUAAGUCCGGUGUGAAAGUCAAAGGCUCAACCUUUGAAAGCCGGUGGAUACUGUGAGGCUAGAGUACGGAAGAGGCGAGUGGAAUUCCUGGUGUAGCGGUGGAAUGCGCAGAUAUCAGGAGGAACACCAAUAGCGAAGGCAGCUCGCUGGGACGUUACUGACACUGAGGCGCGAAAGCGUGGGGAGCGAACAGG